This 69-nucleotide transfer RNA is filed under the name Kurixalus naso (long-snouted treefrog). RNAcentral describes it as "tRNA-Val". The record is from RNAcentral. Lineage: Eukaryota; Metazoa; Chordata; Amphibia; Anura; Rhacophoridae.
CAAAAUGUAGCUUAACUAAAGCCUCUCGAUUACACCGAGAAAACGUCUGUGUAACCCAGAUCAUUUUGA